UUUUUUUUUUUUUUAAUCUCAUUUCUGCUCAAAUAACGUUGCAAAUAGAGUAUUAGUAUUGUUUAAGUUUGCUCACAGGAAAAGUUGGGGCUUUUCUCUCUUUAAUACCAUUGCCAAUUGUGGGAGCUCUUCAUACUGUCCUCUUCCCCUACGUGGCUUCAGCUGGGCUUCAAUAUCUCCAGUUUUGCAACGUGAAUAGCUUUAGAUCAAAGUUCAUUCUAGGCUUUUCUCUCUUCAUGGGUCUUUCUGUGCCUCAAUACUUCAAGGAAUAUGUUUUUCUUUCUGGUCAUGGACCUGUUAACACUGGCUUCACCUGGUUCAAUGACAUAAUCCAAGUGAUUUUCUCAUCCCCACCAACAGUCGCCCUUAUAAUUGCUUUCUUUUUGGAUCGGACUCAUACUCCUAAGGCCCACUCGACCAGGAAAGACAGUGGCAUGGAUUUGAAAGAGCAAUAUGAUGA
RNAcentral lists this unclassified non-coding RNA (460 nucleotides) under Hevea brasiliensis (rubber tree). The record is from RNAcentral. Lineage: Eukaryota; Viridiplantae; Streptophyta; Magnoliopsida; Malpighiales; Euphorbiaceae.